This 497-nucleotide ribosomal RNA is filed under the name uncultured bacterium. Its description in RNAcentral is "partial 16S ribosomal RNA". It matches the Rfam family "Bacterial small subunit ribosomal RNA", at positions 28 to 507 of the family's 1533-position model. The record is from RNAcentral.
GAUGAACGCUGGCGGCGUGCCUAAUACAUGCAAGUCGAGCGAACGGACGAGAAGCUUGCUUCUCUGAUGUUAGCGGCGGACGGGUGAGUAACACGUGGAUAACCUGCCUAUAAGACUGGGAUAACUUCGGGAAACCGUAGCUAAUACCGGAUAAUAUUUUGAACCGCAUGGUUCAAAAGUGAAAGACGGUCUUGCUGUCACUUAUAGAUGGAUCCGCGCUGCAUUAGCUAGUUGGUAAGGUAACGGCUUACCAAGGCAACGAUGCAUAGCCGACCUGAGAGGGUGAUCGGCCACACUGGAACUGGGACACGGUCCAGACUCCUACGGGAGGCAGCAGUAGGGAAUCUUCCGCAAUGGGCGAAAGCCUGACGGAGCAACGCCGCGUGAGUGAUGAAGGUCUUCGGAUCGUAAAACUCUGUUAUUAGGGAAGAACAUAUGUGUAAGUAACUGUGCACAUCUUGACGGUACCUAAUCAGAAAGCCACGGCUAACUACGUG